RNAcentral lists this long non-coding RNA (272 nucleotides) under Lathyrus oleraceus (garden pea). RNAcentral's name for it is "Pisum sativum (pea) long non-coding RNA (PSAT_LNC042045)". The record is from RNAcentral. Lineage: Eukaryota; Viridiplantae; Streptophyta; Magnoliopsida; Fabales; Fabaceae.
UGUGAUGCAAACGUUCCCUUCUCCACUUGUUUUGGGUAGCCAACAUGAUUUUUAUCAAUUGACACAAAGUAGCUUUCGCUAAAAUCGACCAACAAACAAACAUUUCCUACCCAGAACUACGUAAGCCUUGAGUUCUCUAUUGCACUGGGAGAUACAUAGAGGCAGGAUUUGUAAAUCUUGUCAAACCCAUUAAUAAAAAAAAUUAGGUUUAAUUCCUUUCUUUGCACAUUAAUAAAAAAAAUUAAAAAAAUUUUCUCUUUUUUUUUGAUCCU